MicroRNA precursor from Fukomys damarensis (Damara mole-rat), 97 nucleotides. Lineage: Eukaryota; Metazoa; Chordata; Mammalia; Rodentia; Bathyergidae. The record is from Ensembl.
AGCGUGGUUGUGGUCCAGUGCUGUGUGGAAGACUAGUGAUUUUGUUGUUCUGAUGUAGACGACAACAAGUCACAGCCGGCCUCACAGCGCGGGCUCC